Molecule: RNA transcript, 4064 nt
Organism: Oreochromis niloticus (Nile tilapia)
Lineage: Eukaryota; Metazoa; Chordata; Actinopteri; Cichliformes; Cichlidae
Gene name: MICAL-like protein 1
Exons: 14
Source: RefSeq, a predicted model, not a curated record
UAAUUAAUAUAUUAAAAUAUUGCUCUAUUUGACAUCAAAACGUCCGUUAAAACACAAGAAAUCAAAAUUUUUAUUUAUGAAUGAGAUUACAAAGUCUAUUUGCAUAAUAGAUCAAAGUUUUCUUUUAAAUAUUUUUUAUGAUUUGAAAACGAAUAACCUUUCUAGUAAAGUAAUUUUCAUAGGACAAAGAGCUCGUGAGCAGAACAUACCGGAAGUUGCGUUCCUUCAAACCAAAACAUUAAAAAAAAAAACAAAUAAGCCUAACCUUUCACUCAGAUGUUUGUUUAUUUAUUUAUUUACGUUAGGUUUACCCACUUUUUUCUCUCUUACCUUCUUGAUAUUUUUUUACAAUACCAACUCAUGUAACUGAGUAUCUGUUUGUGGUCCGAGACUAAGGAAAGCUUCUCUUCAUUAAAAAAUUGGAAAAAAAAAAUAGUAAAAAUGGAUUGAAAUAAGAAAAAAGGCACGGCCAGUUUUGAAUCGGUCUGUCAAGUUUGCACCCGGACAAUAAACUUAUAAUUACAAACCUUUUCUUCCUAAUUAUAGAGAGGCGGCAAGAAUAGCUCUGUGUCUCCCUCCAGCGGCAGCUAUUAGGGAUUUAAUCAAUUGUGGAGCACAACUGCAGCGCUAAUAACGGGACUAAAAUAUCGGGAUUAAAAUAUCAGCCCUGUGUAACAGACUAGAGGUCUGGCAGUGUUUCUCCAACAGUUUGCUUCAGUUCAGGGGCUCGGUGCAGCUUUGCGGUGGAGGAAACAGCAUCGAGCUGUUGCGAGUGAGAGACUUGUGGUCGUGGUUUGAAACGCUGUAGCAAUGCGCGGUCGCUUUACUUGCCUUUGUUUAUAUUUGACAAAAACAACACGAAAGGGGGGGAAAACAUAAACUUCCUUCCUUCCUGCUCUUGCUGCUUCGCCACCACGACUUGCAAGUCUGGCCGCAGAGAAAUAGUUGCAAAGGUAGAUGCUUUGCUUCCUGUUUCCUCCGAAAAAAAGCCAGACCUGCACCACUUGUAUCUGAUCUCUCCGACUCUGACACGGUGCCAUGUUCUGCUCCCUGUCCACUUGUGAAAAGUCGCACGAGAAAUGGCAUCACCGAGGGUUUUGCUGGAGUGGUGCCGCGUCACAUGCGCCACUUAUCCCGACGUGGAAAUAACAAACAUGUCAACCUCAUUCACAGAUGGACUGGCGUUCUGUGCUAUCAUCCACAAACACCGCCCCGACCUCAUAGACUUCAGAUCCCUCUCCAAAGAUAAUGGUUAUGAAAAUAACAAGCUGGCGUUUGAGAUUGCAGAAACAAAGCUGGGUAUCCCUGCCUUCCUGCAUCCGAAGGAUAUGGUUUCCACCAAGGCGCCCGAUCGUUUAAGCGUCAUCUCCUACCUUGCUCAGUACUACUGCUUCUUCAAUGGGAAAUCUUCGGCAGGUCCGGCCAAAUUGUGGUCAUCGCACGGCACUUCCUCACACAGCCUCUCGAAGAGCAAAACUUACAAUCAUCCAAAGCGCAUGAAGAGCUUGACUGAUAGCAAAACCAGUCGAGAGGAAAAUGUUUCUGAUGCGAGGCCGCAGACUGUGUGCAGUUUGUGUUUGAAGCCCGUGCACCUGAUACAGAGGCAUUUGAUAGAUGGAAACGUUUACCACCGCAGCUGUUUCAGGUGCAAAGUGUGCCACGCAACUCUUUUACCACAGUCUUACACACAGGGAAGUGACGCUGGCUCCUUGAUCUGCACUUACCAUGCGACAAACAGUAAAGGUACUCAUGUCGACGUCAGCGGGCAAACUGGAUCUCAAAGUAAACUUCAGACAGUUUGUUAUUCUCUGGGUGGACAGCCGAUCACCAGCGUCCCUAAUUACACAAAGAAAAUAGAGUCACAGGGCACACCGGGUUGCAAGACAGCAGAAACAGGCGGGACAGAAAGGAAGGAGGAGAACAGAGAAAAUCCCCGUGUAGAAGUGAUAGAUGGAAGGACUCGUCCUGUUCCAGCACCAAGGCGGAUUUCUGCAGGCCCUGUUCCUGCAGCCAGGAUCAGAAGUUCGCAGACUGUAAAUAGCUCCCCUGCUGCAGGUAGUUUAUCCAGUCAAAGCAAAUGUGCAGCCAGUCCGCCUCAAGUCACCAGCUCAGUCAGCGCUAGAUCUAAAAUGAAAAGCAGCCAUCCAUGGAUGCCCCUCGUGCAUCCGGGACCCUGGACACAGCUGCCUCCAGCUCCAGCUCCACUUCCCACUUUUCGAUCUAAAUCUGCUUCUAACUUAGAGGGGUCGUCCAACAGAUCCAAAGUUCCUGCUUCAAAUCCUUUUGAAGAUGAGGAGGAGGACAACUCUCAAAGAGAGGCUGCUAAAACUGAGUCUGAAGACCAAAAUAAGCCUUUAUUGGGAGCUACCCAAUCAGAGGGCCGCACCUUGGCAUCGCAGGAGGCUGAAGAAAAAACAGCUCUCCCACAGAACAGCCCGGAUCUCAGAGAGGGUGGUGAAGUUGCAGAACUUGACCCAGUAAAAGAAGUGACUGGAGAUACUAACACAGAGAGAACUUGUGGUGAAGGAGGUGGAGAUGGUGGUAAGAUUGCUCCGUCAGAUGUGACAGAAGCAGCACGUCCGUGUCCCAUUCCUGCUUCAAGACAGAGUCGCAUUUUACCCAGAAGUCUCUCUGUGCCAGCCAUUGCGUCUGAUCGCUCUGACCCUCGUUCUGCACCUGUCGGUCAAACAGAGACAGAUGAAGCUGCCACAUCGUGGCAAAGUAAGCCUUCCUGUGAAAAAGAUCCUAAGGCUCAAAGACCCACAUUAUCCAAAUCAAAUACCAUUCAGGACCUCUCACCUUGUCGGGGCCCCGCACCUGGCCAUGGAUUCCCACUCAUCAAGAGAAAGGUGCAGACAGAUCAGUGCACUUCCCCAGAAGAGCUGCAGGUGCAGAUGAGAGAAGUGGAUCAACAUCUGGAGACACUGGAGGGAAAAGGAGUGGAACUGGAGAGGAACCUGAGAGGCUGCAAAAAUGAUAAACAGGAGGAACAAAUGCUAAUGCAGUGGUUCUCUCUUAUCCACGAGCGGCAUGUUCUGAUGUGCCACGACACGGAGCUGGUUCAUCUGACAAAGCAGAAAAACCUGGAGGACAGGCAGACCGACGUGGAGUACGAACUCCGGUGUCUCUUUAAUAAACCUGAGAGGACAAAGACUGAUGCUCUAAGAAGACGACCACAGACGAGAUUCAUAGAUGUAGUGAAGGAAGACAUGCAGAGUGUUGAUGAGGCAGAUGAGACACUGUGGUGACUGCAGCUGGAAAGAAGAAUAGUUGAUGAUCCUAAAAGAAGGAAAGAAGACCCAGUUAAACAAAUGUGGCAUAGUAAUAGACUUGGUCAUUUUCUUUUUGUGGAAAGUGAUCCAAUUUUGGGCACUGUGAGGGAGCAGAGUCUGAGAUUUCACUAACCUUUGUUCCUUUGUGACCUCCCGCACUACAACACGCCCACUGCUGUGGAGGGUAACAAUGCUCCAGCAUUUCCUCCAUUUGAAAACUCACUACUGUAAGUCUAGACUGGUGGAAGUCCAAACAGUUUAGAGAUGGUUUUGUGAACUUUUCAAGCCUGAUGAGAAACAGAAACACCAACUCACAUUUGAUUGUCAAGUCUGUCACUGAAAACACUUGUUUCUAAUCACAUAUUUGAAUUACCAGUUAAUCUUAGAGGGUCACAUACUUUUGCCAUUCUCAGACUGGUAAGUAAUACUGGAUCCUGGCAUGCUUUUUGAGGCUAAAUGGUGCAACAAGAACAAGAAACACUACAAGAAGGCUCUGAGUUGGCUCUUAAAAGGCACUGAGAUGAAUUAAUAUGUUUCUAUAAGAAUAUUGUUGCUAUCCUAUCAGUGGAAUCCAAUGAAGAUCGCUGAUUUAUUAAAUGAAAUCUUAUUGUGUUGAACUUUCAUUGUCAUCAUCUGCACACACAGACAAGAACUGGAGUCAGGAGGAUCGAGAUAAAGAGAAGAAGCUGAUGGAUGAGCUGGUCACCAUCAUUGAACAGAGGAACCACAUCAUCAGCAGCCUGGAUCAGGACAGACAGAGGGAGAGAGAAAAUAACGUGCUUUGGGAAGAUA